This is an RNA transcript of Xenia sp. Carnegie-2017, 3494 nucleotides long. It is a transcript of the gene named coiled-coil domain-containing protein 18-like, with no coding region annotated. The transcript is spliced from 30 exons. The record is from RefSeq and is a predicted model, not a curated record. NCBI's taxonomy places the organism in Eukaryota, Metazoa, Cnidaria, Anthozoa, Malacalcyonacea, Xeniidae.
AUUUUUGAGUGCCAGUAUCAGCCAAUCAGCGAGCAGUAUUUUCUGUUUAAUGCAGACAUGGCAACGUAAGCCACGCGAAAUGUCUGUCGUUGUUUAUUAAAACUUUAUCUGACUUUCAAGACUUCAAGAGCAUUUAAAUCAUAAUGCUGAGGCAGCUAAAGUCUGACAGUGAUCUGGAUAGAGGAGACGCUCCUGCACUAGCCGUAAUACGCGCCAAUGCGGAGCAAAAGGCUUUGAGAAAGGCUGUCGAGACACAAGAAGAAUUGCACAGAAUACGAGAACGUAUUUGCUGGACUCUGAGCGCCUAUGAAGUUGGGGAAGAGCUUACGACAAAAAUUUUGGAAGAAAAGAAAAAUUCCUUUGUAAAGGAGGAUGCAGAGCUUCAAUUUUUUGAUGAUAUAGCAACUCUUACUGUUAUCCUUUCUGAUCCUAUCGCAAAGCAAAAGUAUCAACAAAAAGUGACGAUAUUUGUGGUUGGAUAUGAGGACAUGUGUAGCGAGAGAAGCAAGCUGCUGAUACAACUUCAACAGUUUUUCAAGCAAAAUUCUGCUAGUGAUGAUGACUUCAUCAUGAACACUCCAGAAAUUGAUUUUGACGAAGUAGAAAACAAUGUCAGGGAAGCUUUGGACAAAGCUGAGAAAACAACGGAACGUUUAGCGAAUAUUUCUAAAGAUGUGUUAAAGGUGUUUGAAAUGGUGAAUCCAAAAGAUCAUAAAAAAGGAAAAAGAAAGUUGGAGAAAGCGUUAUUUCAAUCUCAACAAGAUGUUGUGCACCUCACUGAAAAACUCGUCGAAGUCCAAUCAGAUUUUGAAGAGACGAAAACAAAAUUAGCCACACUAACGCAGACAGUUGACUUGAAAGAGGCGGAACUCGACAGGAUAAAGACAGAGUUUAACGUCAAUAAGGGUUUUGAGAAAGAAUGUGAGAAUUACAAGAAAGCUUUACAAGCUAAGGACGAACAAUUAAAAACUUUGAAAGUACAAAUGGAAGAAACGGAGAUGUCGCUUUCACAAGCGGAAAGCAAGUACGACGAUUAUGUAGAGAUGUGUCGAAAUUUGAGAGAUGAAAAUCAGUAUUUGAGGGAUGAAACUGAAAGGAAAACUAACGAACAAGAAGAGAGGAUUACACAGAUCACGAAAGAUCUUCAAAAUAAAUAUGAAGCAGAAUUAAGCGAAUUGAAGACGAUGAAGAAUAAAGAGUUAAACCAACUGAAAGAUGCACACGAAGAAGAACUGCUUGGACUAAAAGGAAAACUUUCUUUUCAAAGGCGUUCAAUUACAACGUCGUCGACCAGAGAUGAUAGCAUACCCCUUGAAAGUCGAGGCUCGGCUACGUUCUCAACCACACAAUCUGAUGAUGCAUUGCAAGCGUUGAGUACAUGGAAAUCAUCUGCGAAAACCUCGCGAACAAUUGUAGAAAUAAGGACAUCAGAAACAUCACUUGAAAAAACGUACUCUUCCGACAUGAUUUCCGAAGAAAAAAGCUCUGCGAUGUCGGAAUUAGAAAGUAGAAAGAUGGCCGAUACAACAGAGCCCGCCACUCUUAAGACAGCGGAAACAAUAAAGACAAUUGAAAGAUCGUGUCAAACUGAUGACUUCAUAGAAAAUCUGGAUGAAAUGAAUGAACUGCAUAAAUUGAAAUCCAAAAAAGAUCUAUUGGAAAUCGAACGUGAUAUGGUCAAAACGCCGACAGAAGAGCUGCCCCAGAAAUUAGACGAAUAUAAAAGCAAGUUUUCUGAAGUUGAGCAGCAAUUACGAGAAGAGAUUUUACAAUGGAAACUUAGAUUCAACAACAAGUCUCUUGCCUUAGAUGAAUUAAGUAAAAAUCAGGAGGCCCAGUCAAAGGAAAACCAAAACUUGUUGGAACAACUGGCUCUAGCUCAAAACGAGAAGAUGGACGCUGAAAAUGAGGCAGAAAGAGCAAUUUUAGAACUUGAGGAAAUGAAGGCUGAGAAAGAUAGCAUUUCAGAUAUGACAGAUAUGAUAGAAGAAAAGGAUAACGUCAUUUCUACUGAGAGCAAGACAACUGUCGCAACAGAAAUUCUUGAUUGUUUGCAAACGGCCCAUGAUAACGAAAGAACCUCACUGGUAUCAGCCGACAUGCAAUGUGCUAGUACCCAGGUUUCUCGUAAACCCAGUGCCAGAAGCUCAGUGAACAGUGAUAUGUUAGACAUACGAGGUGUUGGUACCCAGGUCUCUCGCAGACCAAGUGCGAGAAGCUCACCGAACAGUGAUACGUUAGACAUACGAUGUGGUAGUACCCAGGUCUCUAGCAAGCCAAGCGCUAAAAGCUUAGCAAACAAUGAUACGACAGAUGAGCCGGAGAUCGUGGUGCUUGUGCAAGGAUUGGAUGUUCCGGAUAAUAAAUUUGAUAAUGAAAUGGACGCAAAUAAACUUACACUACCAACGCGCUCAAAUACGUCGACUGCGAGCAUUGGUCGAGUCCGCUCCAGACUUAUACGAACGGCAAUAAAAGAUCAUCGCGUCAUAGAGGAGACCGUGAAAACACACGAAAUGAUCUCGAAGUUUAAAGUGGACAUUGUCAUAUGGCUAGAACAACACGGCCUGGGGCAUAAGACCGAGUUGCUUAACUCAAUACCUGAUGUACCAUUAGAUAAGGGAGAUGAAAUCGACAUUUUAAAAAACAUAUCUUCUAUUCGAAACAUCACACAUCAGGUUCUCGAUGCUCUGUGGCAAAUAACCAAAGAUGAUUAUUCUUGGUCUCAUCAUAAACUGGUUGACGGCGAUGAAACACCAGAAGAAAUGGACGUUGGCCAUAAUCUUGGACAUCACGAUAGUGAAGUAGAAGCAGAGAUGGAUAUUGGUUAUGAUGAUCCCUAUACUGAAUUAGGAGCAGAAAAGGAUAUUGGUUAUGAUGAUCCCUCUGCUGAAGAAGGAGCAGAAAAGGAUGCUCAAGAUGGUCAGAGACCAUCCCUAGAGUCUCCCGAGAAAAUUUCAGAAAUCGAUGGUGCUUCCACUUCCGUUCAUCAAGAACCAAAUUUACAAGAUCGAUCGAUUCAGACUAUAUUCGUCCCUCGAGGGGCUCCCACAACACCCAAAGGUUACACGCGUCUUCUCCACGAAUAUAACAAUCUAAAUGAGGAGUACAAUAUGCUGACUCAGCAGCUGCAAGACAGCGUGAAAUCUUACCAAGAACAGAUCAGCCAGAACGCCACAGUCAUGAACGAAAUGCAGGAAACGAUCAAUAACCUCAAAACACAGCUGAUGGAAAAAUUCCAGGUCAUGGUGCAUCACUUCAGCCCGUGGUAUCUUCCAUGAUGUUUACGCGUUUGGACGCAGAACGAAACGUGAAAACGAUGAAGCGUGCAAUUUUGGCAAAACGACUCUCGCCAGACUCAUAUGAUACAGUUGUUCGUGAAAUGAGCUGUUAUGUCAGUUUACCUACGAGAAGGCUGGCUGAACUUAUAAAGAGAUACAGACACCAUUGCAUGAUGCGAGAUGUCGAAGACAAUCUAAAACCAGAGCAAAUGGCGA